Long non-coding RNA from Bombus pascuorum, 468 nucleotides. RefSeq lists it as uncharacterized. The transcript has 3 exons. The record is from RefSeq and is a predicted model, not a curated record. Lineage: Eukaryota; Metazoa; Arthropoda; Insecta; Hymenoptera; Apidae.
GACCUGCACGGUGACCUCGUCCGAGGAGGACGCAACAGGGAAUCCAGGAAUGGCACCAGGCAAUGGAAAACCCGCUGGCACGUUGUGCUCCAUACCUAGAUUUUACGAACAAAGGGACUCGAGACCACGUGGAACAACGAAGAAACGAAAGUUAAUGGAAGAAAAAGACGAAUCGUUCACGAAUUCCAUAAAAGAUUGUUGCUGAACAGGGACGAACCUGACUGGUUGGGCGUUUGUGCUGCGAACGGAUGAUUCAAAGUUUCGCAAUCUGGAUGAUCUGCGUUGCGUUCGAUCGUACCCAUUGUCUAUGUUUUCUUUUUCUGCUGGUAUCGAAUCUCGCGCAAAUGUCGACACUCGUGCACAACUAAUGGUUUCAAUCUCGAGGAAGUAAUUGAAGAAAUCACGAUACCGGAAUGCGAAAGGCAAAUCGUAUUGUCAUCGACACGGAAUUCGCAGUUGGCGUGUUAU